AUUUAAAUAGCUUAAAUUUAGAGCGUAAUAUUGAAGAUAUUAAAGUAACCUUAGGUUUUUAAAUA
Molecule: transfer RNA, 65 nt
Filed under: Scirtes orbicularis
Lineage: Eukaryota; Metazoa; Arthropoda; Insecta; Coleoptera; Scirtidae
Description: tRNA-Phe
Source: RNAcentral